This 258-nucleotide ribosomal RNA is filed under the name Lycosa baulnyi. Its description in RNAcentral is "partial 12S ribosomal RNA". The record is from RNAcentral. Lineage: Eukaryota; Metazoa; Arthropoda; Arachnida; Araneae; Lycosidae.
AACCUGUUUUUUAAUCGACAAUCCACGUUAAUUUUCACUUAAAUUAAAAAUUUAUAUACCGCCAUCUAAAAAACUAAUCUUGUGAUAAUAUUUUUAAUAAAAAAAUAAAAAGUUAGGUCAAGGUGUAAUCAACAUUUAAGUUGAAUAUGGGUUACUUUAAAAAUAAUUUAAGGAUUUUUAUAUAAAAAUAUUUAUUUAAAAAGGAUUUAAAAGUAAUAUUAAAAUAAUAUUUCAAUAUGAUUAAGAUAAUAAAUGUGC